RNAcentral lists this small RNA (84 nucleotides) under Tenacibaculum dicentrarchi. Its description in RNAcentral is "Flavo-1". It matches the Rfam family "Flavo-1 RNA". Lineage: Bacteria; Pseudomonadati; Bacteroidota; Flavobacteriia; Flavobacteriales; Flavobacteriaceae. The record is from RNAcentral.
GCCUAGCCCCGAUUGAAGCAUUUGUUUGAGCUCUUUUUUGUUUUUUUCAAACAAAAAAAGCGAGUGCGCAAAGCGGGAAAUUGC